UCACCAUACGAUCAGUCUGUGCUCUCGCCGCCAUACUUCGCGCACAAACGUAAGCGUAUCGUUUCCGGUUCAUCAACAUGACAAGGACGGAACUGUCGAGCAGCAGCAGUUGUGCUGUAGUGUUGCUAUUCUGUCACCCUCAUCAACAUCGCCCAGAGCACACUAGCCGCAGUAAACUAAAGUAAGGCAACACUAUAAGGUCAACAUUAGCUACCGCAUGCUAAUGAUAAGAGUGCACACACCAAAGCACACACACGCCUAUGAUGUGGACACGAUGCUAUCGCCGUCCACCACGAGGUGUAGUGCGCUUUCGUAAACGGCUCGCGAUCCGGACCCGGAUUGUCCACCGGGCAUCGUAUUGCGGGUGUGUUGGCUCUGCCACCUCUUCCUACCCUCCAUCCCUCCAACAUCGAAUGGGCAAGAUUGUGCCGGAAACGCAGCAACCCCAAAACGGAAGGUGCUAAAAUAACGAACGAAAUCACAGCAAUUGCUUAUGCAGAAUCAAUAACAACCGAACCUUCACUUCCAUUUUCACCCCAACAGGAAAAAUCCUACCAACCACCACCAUCAAAGCCAGCAAAAAAAAAAAAAAGAAGAAGCACGAGAGCACAGUGGAACUAGAGCACACAGGGAAUGUGCGUUAUUACCGGGCUGGUCGUCAGCCCACCUCUUUUGCCGGCAGCGCGAACAGGUUGUAAAAGCAGAGGUCGCCGCCGAACCGUUCCGGCUGAUUAUAGAAUCGCGCAAAAUAAUCCGCGUGCGCGCACACGGCGUGCCGUAGGUAAUCUUGUUUCGCGGCGGCAUGCGGUCGUUGUUGCUGCCGGUCUUCUCUUACGUUUGCGUACGUCGGAUGGUAGCACGGGCAGGCAGGCAGCUCGCGCAGCACGAGACAAAAUCAACCAACGUCAAGAAGAUUGGGGUAGCAACAGGAAAUACUAUGUAAUGCGCUGACCGGGGUACGGCACCCGAACUGUGUGAAUGAAACCCACCCUCCUCAUGGUCGUUUUUCUGCGCUUUCUUUGAGCGAGAGAUGUGUAGAUAGUCCACUGAGCGAUUUUUUUUUCUGUUAAAUAUAGCUGCGAAAUGUGGGAAGAACACCGA
Long non-coding RNA from Anopheles stephensi (Asian malaria mosquito), 1101 nucleotides. RefSeq lists it as uncharacterized. The record is from RefSeq and is a predicted model, not a curated record. The transcript has 2 exons. NCBI's taxonomy places the organism in Eukaryota, Metazoa, Arthropoda, Insecta, Diptera, Culicidae.